Molecule: ribosomal RNA, 406 nt
Filed under: uncultured bacterium
Lineage: Bacteria
Description: partial 16S ribosomal RNA
Rfam family: Bacterial small subunit ribosomal RNA
Source: RNAcentral
AUUGAACGCUGGCGGCAGGCCUAACACAUGCAAGUCGAACGCGUGGCGGACGGGUGAGUAAUGUCUGGGAAUCUACCUUAUGGAGGGGGAUAACUACGGGAAACUGUAGCUAAUACCGCGUACCAUAGGAUGAGCCCACGUGGGAUUAGCGAGUUGGUGAGGUAAAGUCUCACCAAGCCGACGAUCGCUAGCUGGUCUGAGAGGAUGACCAGCCACACUGAGACUGGGACACGGACCAGACUCCGACGGGAGGCAGCAGUGGUGAAUAUUGCGCGAUGGGGGAAACCCUGACGCAGCCAUGCCGCGUGAAUGAAGAAGGCCUUCGGGUUGUAAAGUUCUUUCGGUGGCGAGGCGUUAACUACAGAAGAAGCACAGGCUAACUCCGUGCCAGCAGCCGCGGUAAUAC